Long non-coding RNA from Syngnathoides biaculeatus (alligator pipefish), 5783 nucleotides. RefSeq lists it as uncharacterized. NCBI's taxonomy places the organism in Eukaryota, Metazoa, Chordata, Actinopteri, Syngnathiformes, Syngnathidae. The transcript has 3 exons. The record is from RefSeq and is a predicted model, not a curated record.
AAAAGUACAACUUACUGUAUUUUCACGACUACAAGGCGCACUUAAAAGUCUUAAAUUUUCUCCAAAAUGGACAGGGCCCCUUGUAUGUGCACCUUAUACUGUAUGUGCACCAACAUCCAAAAUCUGGAACUGAGUGAAAGCAUUUCCUGCCGACACACGACUUAUAAAGAGGAAAAGCAGACACUUGAGAGGACAACGUGGACGUUAGAGGGGGAAAGUGCGGCCGUGUGAAAGCAGGCAUGUGAUUUGACUGAAUGAAAAAAGACCGAAAAAUAGCAAGGGGUCUGGGGGCUGCAAGCAUGAUCAAAGGAUGAUCACCAAUUUUAACAGGCAAGUUUUAUAAAUUGUUUAAUGAAUGAAAUCAAUCUAGUACGUCUAUAAAUAAAUGCUAUUCUGUCAUUGUACUGAAGACUAUUUUAGUUUUAUUGCACUUUCAUUAUUUGCUUAAAUAUGAUCUUAUACAUUUAAUCAACAGAUAAAGUGCCGUCCAUUUGCUAAUCAGAGAAGGAUGUGUUGUGGAGCCGGUGGUUGUCCUUGAUCUUUGUACGCAGAAAACCGGCUGGCGGCAUCCUCCUCUCCCAGGCGUUACCUUCCCAGCCCAGGACCAGACUGCGUUGGUGGUGGUGGUGGGGGGGUCCAGACAGUUUUACCAUGGACCCAUACAUAUAAAAACCUUGUGUUACCGGGCAGCUUUUGUCUUCUUCUUUGGCUAUCCAGCCAGAAGACACACGUCUCGUGUGCGGCAGAUACCGAGAUAAGACCCGGACGUCUGUAUUGCACAUCCCUUUGUAAUAAAUCCAUUUGCUGUUAACUUUUUCCAAACAUUGGUCAUAACUUCCUCGACUCGUGAACACGCGUAGGGUCCAAACACGCAAAUCCCUACAAUUUGGUGACCCCGACCGGAAGUUGAGGGAGGUACACGAGCGUUGGCUGUCGACAGAUGAGAUAAAGAGACACUUAUGAGAAACACAGGAGUGUUAUACGGACAAGUCGAGGGUGGUUGUCUGUACGUCUGACUUCUCCAGGUCGCGACCAAAACCAAAGGUAAGCAGAAGCCUGUUUACUCUCGAAUUCUGCAUAUUCAACUGCCUAAAUUUGAGAAGUCAUUGGUAUCAGAUUGUUCAUGCCUCGUAUGAGUUAUUGAGAAUAAGAGAUAUAGAGAACAAGAGAAUGAGAGAUAGAGAAUAGGAGAUAAAAAGAAGUUGUAUAUACCGUCAUAGCUGACGUAUAUUGUAGACGUACAAUUGCAGUGUGAAGUUUACCUGUUAUACCUAAGGGGGAUGAGAUCCCUUAAAAACAGAGGGUUUGCCGUCGGUUUGAGCCUGGGAUGUCGCAAGGUGGUGUACGAAAAAAACGAAUAGUAUAGGAUAAUUUGUUGCGCGAUAGGAAUUCGGUUGGGUUUAGUUGAAGAUGAGUGACCACUAAAUUAAAGAUAUAAUGAUGGAUGGUGAAUUUCAUCAUGAAUGUGCCGAAUAUAAUCCAACUAAACAUGAAAUGCACAUUGAAAUUGAACGGCAAAUGAUGCCUAAUGGUGACAAAACGAAACAAGAUAAAGAAAGGAAGCGGCCAUUAAAAUAAUGGCAAAAGCACAAAUUGUGUAAAAUUCGUGAUUGGGACAAACUGACGAAGUUAUAGGAAAUUGACAGAGACUAUGUAAAUAUAAAUAAAAAAUGUAAAAGACUGAAAGCUCAAAGAGACAGAUUAGAUAAGGGCUCAUGGAAUUUAAAGAGGUGAAACAGAGAAAGGCGCACAGCGCAUUUCAUGAUGGUGACGGUGACGCCGAUGCCAACGUUGAAGAAAAAUGGUAAUGGGAAGUUGAACGAAGGUAAAGUAAGAGGAAAAAAAAGUGUAUUUGAUAUGUGAACGCAAGUGACUGCAAAAAUGAGGAAGGAGGCACAUCGAACACGCAGACACGGAUGCACCCUGAAUCACAUGUAAGUACACCACACACACACACACACACACACACACACACACACACACACACACACACACACACACACACACACACACACACGGAGCGAGAGGCGCUGAACAGGGGGGUUCAUGAAAACUGUCUUGUUGAUUUGAUGUAAAGCGUCCUCUCGCAUCGGAAAAAACACAAUGACUAUCAUAUUAUUAUUAUUACAUAUAUUAUGGCAGCACGGUGGAGCAGGCAGUAAAGCGCUGGCCUCACAGUUCUAAGGACCCGGGUUCAAUCCCGCACCCGCCUGUGUGGAGUAUGCAGGUUCUCCUUGUGCCUGCGUGGGUUUCUUCCCACAUCCCAAAAACACCCAACAUUAGUUGGACACUCAAGGUUGUCUCUAGGUGUGAUUGUGAGUACGACUGUUGUCUGUCUCUACGUGCCCUGCGAUUGGCAGGCAACCAGUUCAGGGUGUACCCUGCCUCCUGCCCACUGACAGCUGGGAUUGGGUCAAGCACUCCCCGUGACCCUCAUGAGGAUAAACGGUCAAGAAAAUGGAUGGAUAUUAUAUUAUAUUAUAUUAUAUAACAAGCAAACAAAACGCUACAAGGUUGAAAACUAUUCUUUUUUUUCUCAUGCUUUUUGGAAUAUAUCCACCUUUUGAUAAUAUUACUUGCACUGUAUGCGUUGUAAGUAAUGUUUUAAUUGCGUUUUUUAAAUAUUGUGUUUGUCAUUUUUAUUGUUUUUAUCACGUUUUAAGUGUUUUAUCACUUUGUUUUCAAAUGCCUUUAAUCAUGUAAAGUUACCUCGUGUAUGAAAUGCGCUAUACAAAUAAAUUUGCUUUGCUUUGCUUGACACUGAUGCCUAUGAUAGAGGCUCCAGCAGGUCCAAUAUACAAGCCGUUUGCUCUUAAAGAUCUUGAUUGUCUUGCUCACUUGUCUCGUCUCUCUUCUGGUGGUAAUGCAUGGCUGUCUCGUUUUGUGGAAACUUUACAGGGGUAUAAACUCUUCAUGGGAGACUGGAGCCAAGCAGCAUCUAGAUCAUGCACUAGAAUUGAACAAUGAGAAAUCGAGACAACUGCAGCUGCUAACCAGGGGAUGGAGGACACUCUCACUGGCCUGUGGAAUUCUGGAGUCUUGGAAACAUCCACCUCCUCGUGGUGUGCACCACUCAGGCCAGUUUUAAAAGCAGAUGAUGGCCUGAAACCUAGCCCUGCGGUCGCGAAGACGCCAUGUCAGUAAUGAAAGCUUUGGUGAACCACUGGAUUCCAACGCACGGUUUCCCUGCUCUCAUCCGCUCGGAUAAUGGUACACAUUUCACAUCCACACACCUUGCUACUUUCGAGAAGUGGUUAGGAUUAACUCACAAGUUUGGCUGUGUUUAUCACCCCGCCAGUCAAGGUUCAGUUGAACAUAUGAAUCGCAUGUUGAAGGAAAAACUGGCUAAAAUAUGUAAAUCUUCCGGCAUGAACUGGGUUCAGGCUCUUCCCCUUGCUCUCAAAUCUGUGAGACAAAAAGGAGGCUUCUCUCCUUACGAAUUUCUUUCAGGUCGUCUGAUGCCUGGCCCUUCCUCCUCAAUCCAACCGCUGGAGGAAGGCGUUGUGUCUCCCAAGUUUUCUCAUAAACUGUGUAGGCCACAACUGCAUUGUUUUGCUUCUAAUUUCUCCUUACAGAUCCAGGACUCUCUUCCAUCACCACCUCCAACACUUGAUCUUCCUGAAUGGUCAUCUGUCUACCUUAAACGACUCUCUCGUAAGAACCCGGUUGGUCUGGCCCCCACAAGGUGACUCCUCGUAACUCCAAAGCCGUCUGCUUGGAGGAAAAAGGAACUAAGUGGUUUCAUUAUUCUAUGCUUCGCCCUGCUACAGACUCUUAAUUGCACUUUUAUUUUAUUGUUUGUUGUUGUUUUAUUAACCAUGAUUCCUACAGAUGGUCCGAUUCCUUUUCGGACCAAGAGAGCGAGAGCAGGGAAUCUCUGGGAUUCUUAUUAUUGGUGUUAUUGUUGUUCUUGGUUAUUUUGAUCUGGGAAAUCUUUAAAAAAUACCCCAUACCUACACCCACAUCAGUGCCAGCUGUGAGCACAACCCACCCGGAAAAUAUUUAUCACAGAGAAGAGUUGUAUUAUAAAGAAAGCCCUGUCGUUUGAUGAGUGUUUUUGGGUUUUGACGGGCUUUAGUGCAGUAAACAAUAAUUGGUUACUAAUGGCAGAACAAGUAGCUAAUAAAACCCCGAGUGACUGUGUUGUAUGUAUGGGACCUAGACUUUUGUUCCGUGUUGUUUCCUCUUCUGUCAACUCCACUUUUGUUCUAGAUCUUAUGAAAAAUUAUGUGCCAAUUAAAAAUGAAUGCAAAAUUUGGGAUACUUCCCACCCGUAACACCGGCUCAAAAGAACAAACCUGUGUUUAAUCGCGUACGCCAAAGCUUCACCUGUAUUUUCCUUCAAGGUAAUCGUGCCCCAAUUGACAAUAUCUCUGAUGAUCAGUGUGCAGAGACCCCGGAAGCACCUUUUUUCCAACCUGUCAGCCAUGCUGAUGUGUGGUGGUGCUGUGGAGGGGAUCGUAUCUUCAACCACAUCCCGCGCAACAGUACGGGCAGAUGUGCAUUAGUAACUUUACUUUUACCUAUUUCCGUUGUUCCUGUCACCCUAGAUGAUCUGGCAGUUGCUCCUGAACACAUCAAGGACGCCCUUGGCCGAUUACACGUAGGUCCAAACCGACCUGCUGAUGACCCGACCGACAUUGACGCUAUUGGUGUCCCCCGUGGUGUCCCAGAUGAGUAUAAACUGGCUGAUCAGGUAGUUGCCGGUUUUAAAAUAUACCUGUAAUUACUGCUCUUUUCCCCAUUACUCCUAACGAAAAUGUCGACCGUAUCAAUUACAUACAUUUUAACAUUUUAAUGUGCAACGUUUGGGCAAUUUUACCCUUGAAGGACUUGAAGCUGUACAUGAGCAACAUAAGGCUACAUGUAUCAUGACUUUCCAAAAUAGAAUCGCAUUAGAUGCACCGUUGGCCAAGAAAGGAGGUGUUUGCCGGAUGGAUUGAGAGGGCGAGUGGUGCCCCAACUGAUGGCCGCGGUAAUUAUGUCCUCAUUAGACCCCCGCCCCGACACACUCCUCAAGAUGAUUUUAGUGUUGCUAUUGCUCCCCGUGAAAGUGAUACUAAACUUCCACCGCUUCCUGAUUGUCAUGAUGUAGACAUGCCCCGUGAUUGCAUUGCCCUUGCCCUCGCCCUUCUGUUCUACUGGUACUUUUUGCGUGAUAUUACUUUUUUUUAGAAAUGUUUUGCUGUUUUUGAGUUCUCUAGUACUGUCCUGCAGGUUUAAAGCUUGUGGGUGUUCUGAAUCAUGAGACUAUGCACUUGUUAAAAGGUAUGUUUGGAAAAAUAGAGAGGAUUUUAUGUUUUUCAUAUUUCUUCAAGUGUUACUUUUGGGAUUUUCGUGAUUGUUUUUGUGAUCUAUUUCAUAGAUCAAGAGAGGGAAUGAAGACUAUUUUACUUUUUUUGCACUUUCAUUAUUUGCUUAAAUUUGACCAUAUACAUUUAAUCAACAGAUAAAGUGUUGUCCAUUUGCUAAUCAGACAAGGAUGUGUUGUGGAGCCGGUGGUUGUCCUUGAUUUUUGUACGCAGAAAACCGGCUGGCGGCAUUCUCCUCUCCCAGGUGUUGCCGUGGAGACGAACGACACCAGAUAAGGAGCGGAAAGUUACCAUCCCGACCCAGGACCAGACUUCGGGGGAGGGGGGGAUGGGCAGCCACUUUUACCAUGGACCCAUACAUAUAAAAACCGUGUGUUACCGGGCACCUUUUGUCUUCUUUUUGGCUAUCCUGCCAGAAGACACACGUCUCGUGUGCGGCAGAUACCUCGAUAAGACCCGGACGUCUGUAUU